Salvia miltiorrhiza (redroot sage) is the source of this 3060-nucleotide long non-coding RNA. RefSeq lists it as uncharacterized. The transcript is spliced from 6 exons. Lineage: Eukaryota; Viridiplantae; Streptophyta; Magnoliopsida; Lamiales; Lamiaceae. The record is from RefSeq and is a predicted model, not a curated record.
CACGGCUUUAGCAAAUUCAGCAGCCGCUCACACAUUUGAGAGAGAAUUAAAACACGGCUUCACACAUUUGAGGGAGAGAGAGAGAGAAUUGAUGGUUUGAGAUGGAGAAAAAAAGGAAUUCACGGUCACAUAUUUGAGAGAGGAUUGACGGUUUUUCGAGAGAGAAAAUAAUGAAUUCACGGCUUCAUGUCUUCUUCUUCAAACCAAAAUAGGAGAUUAUCCCUUAUUGGAGGCCCGAGACGAUCAAUCGUCCUAAGACAGCAAUUAGUACGUACUACAAGACCAAGUACCUGAACAAAAUAGUGGUGAAACUAAAUGACAUUGGGGUGAUGCACUGGAGAACUCAUUCCGACAUGGGUGCUUUGGUCACUUGUUGGAUUGGGCGCCAGGCCCCAAGUGCAAUACGGCAUUGCACCAUGUUGUCUCUCGUCAGAUUAAGAUAACAGGCGACGGCAGCAAGGAUGAAACCAUCUGGUUCUACAUCAAUGGGAGGAGGGUUUGCUUUUCACCGGGAGAUUUCGCCCUCGUCACAGGAUUGUCGUUCGGGGCGUUGCAUUUUGAUCCUGAAGCAAAGCACGAUUUGAAUAUAUAGGGCACAGACCUUUCAGAUUAUUUUGCAAGGGGCAACAUAUGUCAAUCGGGGCGUUGCUUGAUAAAUUUAUGGCCCAGCAGGUGAACGACCCCGACGGCAGGAUACACCUUCGUGUGGCCCACUUGUUGGUGCUACACACAUUUAUUUUGGAAGUGGACUUGUCACGACCCGUGGAGCCUUGGACUUGGGCUUUAGUGGAUGACUUGCAGGCGUUUUACACAUUUCCUUGGGGAGGGUACACGUAUAAAGCCCUGAAUUACUGGAUGAAAAAUAUUACCCCAGAAAUUCCUGAGAAAAUAAGGAAGUACAACUUCUACCGUUCUUCUUGGACCCUAUUUGUUUAGGCUCUUGAAGUGAUCCCCGACUUGGCCACAGCCGUGGCCAUAUGUAAUGCAGGGAGAUAUCUUAGAUGCUAGAAGUGGACGUUCUUGAAGUCCAGCAGAUUUGAGUUACAACCCUUAUUUGAGAGAGAUGGUGGAGAGUUGUACGAGAUGAGGCCCGAUGAGCACGAGGCCACUUUAUUGGCUAUCGGUGGUAGGCGGCGGUGAUAUAGGCGUUCGAUUUUCAGGUCCAGAGGCAUUCGGCCCCAGGAACUCUCGGGGGUGUCACAGUGGUGGGGACCAGAGCGAGGCUUCUGUUCAGCCUAAGACACGACGUCGCAGUUCGAGGCAAGAUACUGGAAAGGGCCCGAGACCACAGGUGGUGGAGUCCUCAUCGAGCAGUAGUCAUCAAGAUCAGAGUGGCGGCGACAAUCAUCCCGUGACUUUCGCUCGGAGGUCUCAUAGGGACUCGAGGCCCAAGCACGGCGAGAGAGUAGCACUGCUGCACAUUCACAGUGGAGCGAGCAGGACUGGGGGCGCAUGCAGACCAUGAUACGUGCGAGUGAGGAGAGCAUAUUCUCGAGGGUGAAGAAUUGGUUGGAGGAAAAGAUAGAUUCUAUGCUUUGUCGGUGUUCGCAUAGCACUGACGUUCAUGUGCCAAGACCUUCUCCACGAUCUCACUUAGAGAGGAUACGUGAGCCCGAUCCAGCGACGCGUGCAUCAUCGGAGGCCCCAUUGCGUCAUGGCUCCCCUGCACAUGACUCCACUGCAUAGGACUUGGGACAUCCUACCGGUGACGAUGUGCACACCCCACAUGGGCAGUAUGAUGCUUUUGGUGGCCCGACUCAUUUUGGGGAUGUCCAUACUCCAUACAUGGGCGGCCAACAAUGGAAGUUGGCGCCAUUGGGUGAGUCGAGUUCUUAUGGAGGUCCAUGCUACUCGUAUCAUGAGCAGGGCACCAACUCAGCAUACCCGGCUGAGCAGGCUCGUCAUUCGGUGUCGCCGUGUCGGAUCUGAGAGAUGCCGAAUAUUCAUCGACAGACAUCCUGCAGUAUUGUCAAAACUUGGUGCCGGGAGUUUCUGAGGGACUAGCUAUCGUUCCCCUCAGUAUCUGUCCACCGGAGGUUCCACCACCGUGUAGAAGCCACCGUGAACGGCAGCCUUCGGCUGUACUUCGUUCACCAUACGUACACAGUGCCGAGCCCAAACCCGUCGACCAGCAGUAUGUUGACGCAAUUGAGCGUAUGCUGAAUGCAGGCCGCCGGCGCUACAAGACGGUGAUGGUGGCAUAGAGUCAGCACAAACUCCCGUUUGAGUUUUGGUCCGAGAUGCAAAACCUAAGGGUUGACCUCACGACCGAGGUUCUUGAUAUGUACAUGAUGACGUUGAGGCAUAGGUUGAUGGCGCGUGCUGACUUGUUAGAUGAGGUUGAUGAUAGGACCACUGUCAUAUUGGAUACGAAAUUAUUCGUAAGCAUUAAAAUAUUUCGCGCUUAUAAUCAAAUAUUCCAUUAAUAUAUUUUUUUUUUCACAACAGACAUAUUUGCAAAAAGAAUUUAAGAUCCUCAUGGAUGCUGCUUAUGCAAUGUUCCACUCGAAGAAAGAAUCAAGGAUUUUGCAUAGAGACAUGCCUUAUCGUAACUGGAUCCUGCAUCCCAACCGCUUGUAUGAAGUGUAUGACAAGGACACCUCAUCGACUCAGAAUGAUUGGAUGAAUGCCACACAUGUCAUUAUGCCUAUAUUUAUAGGCGACCAUUUCAUUACCUGUAGAGUGGAUAUGCUCACGGGUAACUGUGACGUCUUCGACUCUCAGUGGUUCAAGACAUUGCUGCAACCGCGCCAAACCCAGCUGAUCGAGCUGAAGUCGCUGCAGUGCCUUGUUAGUAGGCUGCUUGAAGUGGCUUUUUGGUUUCAGAGGAUGACCAUUGUGCAGAAUCCAAUAGAGAAUCUCAGCUGGAAUAAAUUGAACAUCCGCUACGCCGAGAUGGGUGAGGUGUUUCACCAGUCAGACCAGUGCAGCUCUGGUGUCUAUGCAUACAUGUUUGUAGAGCGUUUGAUUUCAGGGUCGUCGAGCAUUACGUGGGGCUAUCAUCACACCCCUAACUAGAGGCGCAAGAUAGGCAGUAGCAUCUACGAGUUUUGCGUACCA